UACGUAGGGGGCAAGCGUUGUCCGGAUUUAUUGGGCGUAAAGAGCGUGUAGGCGGCCACACAGGUCAGCUGUGAAAACUCGAGGCUCAACCUCGAGACGUCGGUUGAAACCGUACGGCUAGAGUCCGGAAGAGGAGAGUGGAAUUCCCGGUGUAGCGGUGAAAUGCGCAGAUAUCGGGAAGAACACCCGUGGCGAAGGCGGCUCUCUGGGACGGUACUGACGCUGAGACGCGAAAGCGUGGGGAGCGAACAGG
Molecule: ribosomal RNA, 253 nt
Filed under: uncultured bacterium
Lineage: Bacteria
Description: partial 16S ribosomal RNA
Rfam family: Bacterial small subunit ribosomal RNA
Source: RNAcentral